This 472-nucleotide ribosomal RNA is filed under the name uncultured bacterium. RNAcentral describes it as "partial 16S ribosomal RNA". It matches the Rfam family "Bacterial small subunit ribosomal RNA", at positions 28 to 507 of the family's 1533-position model. The record is from RNAcentral.
GACGAACGCUGGCGGCGUGCUUAACACAUGCAAGUCGAACGCUGAAGCUUGGUGCUUGCACUGGGUGGAUGAGUGGCGAACGGGUGAGUAAUACGUGAGUAACCUGCCCUUGACUCUGGGAUAAGCCUGGGAAACUGGGUCUAAUACUGGAUACGACAUGUCACCGCAUGGUGGUGUGUGGAAAGGGUUUUACUGGUUUUGGAUGGGCUCACGGCCUAUCAGCUUGUUGGUGGGGUAAUGGCUCACCAAGGCGACGACGGGUAGCCGGCCUGAGAGGGUGACCGGCCACAAUGGGACUGAGACACGGACCAGACUCCUACGGGAGGCAGCAGUGGGGAAUAUUGCACAAUGGGCGGAAGCCUGAUGCAGCGACGCCGCGUGAGGGAUGACGGCCUUCGGGUUGUAAACCUCUUUCAGCACGGAAGAAGCGAAAGUGACGGUACGUGCAGAAGAAGCGCCGGCUAACUACGUG